Molecule: ribosomal RNA, 441 nt
Filed under: Lactiplantibacillus plantarum
Lineage: Bacteria; Bacillati; Bacillota; Bacilli; Lactobacillales; Lactobacillaceae
Description: bacterial SSU rRNA
Rfam family: Bacterial small subunit ribosomal RNA
Source: RNAcentral
GACGUGGGACGGAAGGUCUGAUGGAGCACGCCGCGUGAGUGAAGAAGGGUUUCGGCUCGUAAAACUCUGUUGUUAAAGAAGAACAUAUCUGAGAGUAACUGUUCAGGUAUUGACGGUAUUUAACCAGAAAGCCACGGCUAACUACGUGCCAGCAGCCGCGGUAAUACGUAGGUGGCAAGCGUUGUCCGGAUUUAUUGGGCGUAAAGCGAGCGCAGGCGGUUUUUUAAGUCUGAUGUGAAAGCCUUCGGCUCAACCGAAGAAGUGCAUCGGAAACUGGGAAACUUGAGUGCAGAAGAGGACAGUGGAACUCCAUGUGUAGCGGUGAAAUGCGUAGAUAUAUGGAAGAACACCAGUGGCGAAGGCGGCUGUCUGGUCUGUAACUGACGCUGAGGCUCGAAAGUAUGGGUAGCAAACAGGAUUAGAUACCCGGGUUAGUCCGAA